UGGGGAAUAUUGCACAAUGGGCGAAAGCCUGAUGCAGCAACGCCGCGUGAGUGAUGAAGGCCUUCGGGUUGUAAAGCUCUGUCUUUUGGGACGAUAAUGACGGUACCAAAGGAGGAAGCCACGGCUAACUACGUGCCAGCAGCCGCGGUAAUACGUAGGUGGCAAGCGUUGUCCGGAUUUACUGGGCGUAAAGGAUGCGUAGGCGGAUUUUUAAGUGAGAUGUGAAAACCCUAAGCUUAACUUGGGGACUGCAUUUCAUACUGGAAAUCUAGAGUGCGGGAGAGGAGAAUGGAAUUCCUAGUGUAGCGGUGAAAUGCGUAGAGAUUAGGAAGAACACCAGUGGCGAAGGCGAUUCUCUGGACCGUAACUGACGCUGAGGCAUGAAAGCGUGGGUAGCAAACAGGAUUAGAUACCCUGGUAGUCCACGCCGUAAACGAUGAGUACUAGGUGUAGGAGGUAUCGACCCCUUCUGUGCCGCAGUUAACACAAUAAGUACUCCGCCUGGGAAGUACGAUCGCAAGAUUAAAACUCAAAUGAAUUGACGGGGGUCAUAGCUGUUUUCCU
Molecule: ribosomal RNA, 564 nt
Filed under: uncultured bacterium
Lineage: Bacteria
Description: partial 16S ribosomal RNA
Rfam family: Bacterial small subunit ribosomal RNA
Source: RNAcentral